UCCUCAGUAGCUCAGUUGGUUAGAGCAUCUGACUGUUAAUCAGAGGGUCGUUGGUUCGAGUCCAACCUGAGGAGCAA
Molecule: transfer RNA, 77 nt
Filed under: Haloflavibacter putidus
Lineage: Bacteria; Pseudomonadati; Bacteroidota; Flavobacteriia; Flavobacteriales; Flavobacteriaceae
Description: Flavobacteriaceae bacterium PLHSN227 tRNA-Asn
Rfam family: tRNA
About the family: Transfer RNA (tRNA) molecules are approximately 80 nucleotides in length. Their secondary structure includes four short double-helical elements and three loops (D, anti-codon, and T loops).
Source: RNAcentral